AAAAAAACAAACCGUGGGUUCCCGUGCCAACGUUUGACUAUCCGUCUUAUAUGAAAUUUUUUUAUAAUUAGUAUUUUCAUUGUUGUUAGAUGAUAAAACAUGAGUAAUACUUUAUGUGUGACUUAUCUUUUUAAUUUUUUUCAUAAUUUUUUUAAAUAAGACAGACGGUCAAACGUUGGACACGGAAACCAGGGUUUAUA
Molecule: microRNA precursor, 200 nt
Filed under: Oryza glumipatula
Lineage: Eukaryota; Viridiplantae; Streptophyta; Magnoliopsida; Poales; Poaceae
Description: MIR812 microRNA precursor family
Rfam family: MIR812 microRNA precursor family
Source: Rfam by way of RNAcentral